AAUCAUAGAGAAAUAAAAUAGAGUAGUGAAAGAAAAAAAGAAUCGGACCUUGAGCAAUGCAACUUUUCCAAUGUUUAUAACGAUGAGGGGCAUCAAAGUAACAUACAACUACUGGGUUUGCCCAAGAUCCUUUUAACGCCUCUUUAAUCAACCAUCCUCAUUGCUCGCUCAAAAUUUUCCCAAAUAAAAAAUGCCAACAUUGAAAGUUGGUCAUCGUUCACCGAAUGAGUUGAUUGGAUACCUUCCCACAGUAUUUGCACGUCUC
Molecule: long non-coding RNA, 265 nt
Filed under: Nicotiana benthamiana
Lineage: Eukaryota; Viridiplantae; Streptophyta; Magnoliopsida; Solanales; Solanaceae
Description: long non-coding RNA (NBEN_LNC031526)
Source: RNAcentral